This 484-nucleotide ribosomal RNA is filed under the name uncultured bacterium. RNAcentral describes it as "partial 16S ribosomal RNA". It matches the Rfam family "Bacterial small subunit ribosomal RNA", at positions 28 to 507 of the family's 1533-position model. The record is from RNAcentral.
AUUGAACGCUGGCGGCAUGCUUUACACAUGCAAGUCGAACGGCAGCGCGGGCUUCGGCCUGGCGGCGAGUGGCGAACGGGUGAGUAAUGCAUCGGAACGUGCCCAGUAGUGGGGGAUAGCCCGGCGAAAGCGGGAUUAAUACCGCAUACGACCUGAGGGUGAAAGCGGGGGACCGAAAGGCCUCGCGCUAUUGGAGCGGCCGAUGUCGGAUUAGCUAGUUGGUGGGGUAAGGGCUUACCAAGGCGACGAUCCGUAGCUGGUCUGAGAGGACGACCAGCCACACUGGGACUGAGACACGGCCCAGACUCCUACGGGAGGCAGCAGUGGGGAAUUUUGGACAAUGGGGGCAACCCUGAUCCAGCCAUGCCGCGUGCGGGAAGAAGGCCUUCGGGUUGUAAACCGCUUUUGUUCGGGAAGAAAUCCUCUGGGCUAAUACCCCGGGGGGAUGACGGUACCGGAAGAAUAAGCACCGGCUAACUACGUG